RNAcentral lists this ribosomal RNA (497 nucleotides) under uncultured bacterium. Its description in RNAcentral is "partial 16S ribosomal RNA". It matches the Rfam family "Bacterial small subunit ribosomal RNA", at positions 28 to 507 of the family's 1533-position model. The record is from RNAcentral.
GAUGAACGCUGGCGGCGUGCCUAAUACAUGCAAGUCGAACGAACAGACGCGUCUCUUGCUCCUCUCUCGUUAGCCGCGUACGUGUUAGUACCACGUGUAUCCCCUCCCUAUAUGUCUGGUAUCACUUCGUUAACCCGGCGCUAAUACCGUAUAAUAUAUUGCACCGCAUGGUUCAAUAGUGAAAGACGGUUUUGCUGUCACUUAUCGAUGGAUCCGCGCCGGAUUAGCUAGUUGGUACGGUAACGGCUUACCAAGGCAACGAUGCGUAGCCGACCUGAGAGGGUGAUAGGCCACACUGGAACUGAGACACGGUCCAGACUCCUACGGGAGGCAGCAGUAGGGAAUCUUCCGCAAUGGGCGAAAGCUUGACGGAGCAACGCCGCGUGAGUGAUGAAGGUCUUCGGAUCGUAAAACUCUGUUAUUAGGGAAGAAAAAAUGUGUAAGUAACUAUGCACGUCUUGACGGUACAGUAUCAGAAAGCAACGGCUAACUACGUG